Molecule: ribosomal RNA, 598 nt
Filed under: bacterium ocnta42lb834offp11.19
Lineage: Bacteria
Description: bacterial SSU rRNA
Rfam family: Bacterial small subunit ribosomal RNA
Source: RNAcentral
UACACAUGCAGUCGAACGAGAUCUUCGGAUCUAGUGGCGGACGGGUGAGUAACGCGUGGGAAUAUGCCCUUUGGUACGGAAUAGCCUCGGGAAACUGAGAGUAAUACCGUAUGUGUCCUCUGAUCGUGGUGGUUGGAGGAGAAAGAUUUAUCGCCAAAGGAUUAGCCCGCGUUGGAUUAGAUAGUUGGUGGGGUAAUGGCCUACCAAGUCUACGAUCCAUAGCUGGUUUGAGAGGAUGAUCAGCCACACUGGGACUGAGACACGGCCCAGACUCCUACGGGAGGCAGCAGUGGGGAAUCUUAGACAAUGGGGGCAACCCUGAUCUAGCCAUGCCGCGUGAUCGAUGAAGGCCUUAGGGUUGUAAAGAUCUUUCAGUUGGGAAGAUAAUGACGGUACCAACAGAAGAAGCCCCGGCUAACUCCGUGCCAGCAGCCGCGGGUAAUACGGAGGGGGCUAGCGUUAUUCGGAAUUACUGGGGCGUAAAGCGCACGUAGGCGGACUGGAAAGUUAGAGGGUGAAAUCCCAGGGCUCAACCUUUGGAACUGCCUUUAAAACUAUCAGUCUAGAGAUCGAGAGAGGUGAGUGGAAUUCCGAGUGU